Long non-coding RNA from Suricata suricatta (meerkat), 276 nucleotides. RefSeq lists it as uncharacterized. The transcript is spliced from 3 exons. The record is from RefSeq and is a predicted model, not a curated record. NCBI's taxonomy places the organism in Eukaryota, Metazoa, Chordata, Mammalia, Carnivora, Herpestidae.
AUGUACACUCAACUUUGAAACUACUGCAAUAAUCCACAUCCUUCAAGACCUUUUGCACAUGGGUUGGAGAUUUCUAUUUUAUCACAUGAGCUCCUGCUAUUUUGGGUUUGUGAAGUCAUUUCUUAAGUGAGGAAGUGUGGUCAGACAGCAAGAGCCCACAUUUCAGAGCUCCAGCAUCUGUCCCAGUGAACAAAAAAGCAAAGAUUCUGUCAUCUCCUCACUCUGCUUUCCAGGAGAAAGAGACAGCACAAGCAGGAUCAAAGAGAGGGAGACACA